Molecule: long non-coding RNA, 212 nt
Organism: Ipomoea nil (Japanese morning glory)
Lineage: Eukaryota; Viridiplantae; Streptophyta; Magnoliopsida; Solanales; Convolvulaceae
Exons: 3
Source: RefSeq, a predicted model, not a curated record
UGCACGGCCGUAUGCAGCAGUUGAAGGAGCAACAUCUAUUUCUUCUUCUUUUUGUGCUACUUUGUCGUGGGUUUGCCUAGCUUCUUUGGUGGCACGGCGGCGGCGUGUGUCGGCAGGUUUUGUCGCACGUCUGAUGGAUUUUUCGUGAGGUUUGCCGAAGAUCUUUGGGGUACUUUUCUUCAUCAAAUAUUUUUGGAUGAUUUGUUGCUGCU